GGGGUUGUGGCUCAGUGGUGGAGCACUUGCCUCGCACUGGGUUCGAUCCUCAGCACCACAUAAAAAUAAAAAAAUAAAAAUAUUUUUAAAAAUUAGCAUGUGUGAGGCACUGGGUUUGAUUCUCAGCACCACA
RNAcentral lists this transfer RNA (133 nucleotides) under Marmota monax (woodchuck). Its description in RNAcentral is "tRNA.Ala". The record is from RNAcentral. Lineage: Eukaryota; Metazoa; Chordata; Mammalia; Rodentia; Sciuridae.